Molecule: long non-coding RNA, 1686 nt
Organism: Oncorhynchus tshawytscha (Chinook salmon)
Lineage: Eukaryota; Metazoa; Chordata; Actinopteri; Salmoniformes; Salmonidae
Source: Ensembl
GUGGGAGAGAGGGAGAGAGAAAGGGGAGGAUAGUGGGAGAGAAAGAGACCGAGAGAGGUGUGGGAGAGAGGGAGAGAAAAAGAGGGGGAGACAGUUGGAGGGAGGGAAAGAAAAAGUGAGAGGAGAUAUUAGCAUAUCUAAAAAUGUAGUUCUAUGGUAGAACCUGUCCUCUGUGGACUCAGUUGGUAGAACCUGUCCUCUGUAACUCAGUUGGUAGAACCUGUCCUCUGUGACUCAGUUGGUAGAACCUGUCCUCUGUGGCUCAGUUGGUAGAGCCUGUCCUCUGUGGUUCAGUUGGUAGAGCCUGUCCUCUGUAACUCAGUUGGUAGAACCUGUCCUCUGUGACUCAGUUGGUAGAACCUGUCCUCUGUGGUUCAGUUGGUAGAACCUGUCCUCUGUAACUCAGUUGGUAGAACCUGUCAUCUGUGACUCAGUUGGUAGAACCUGUCCUCUGUGGUUCAGUUGGUAGAGCCUGUCCUCUGUCGCUCAGUUGGUAGAACCUGUCCUCUGUGGGUUCAGUUGGUAUAACCUGUCCUCUGUGACUCAGUUGAACCUGUCCUCUGUGGCUCAGUUGGUAGAACCUGUCCUCUGUAACUCAGUUGGUAGAGCCUGUCCUCUGUGGCUCAGUUGGUAGAGCCUGUCCUCUGUCGCUCAGUUGGUAGAACCUGUCCUCUGUGGUUCAGUUGGUAGAACCUGUCCUCUGUGACUCAGCUGGUAGAACCUGUCCUCUGUGGACUCAGUUGGUAGAGCCUGUCCUCUGUGGUUCAGUUGGUAGAGCAUUUACAACACCAGGAUUGUGGGUUUGAUUCCUGGGGCCUCCCCAUAUGUAAAAAUGACUGACUGACUGAAAGUUGAUGUGGAUAAAAAGUGCCUGGUAAUGGAAUAUGUAAAUCCAUAUUAGUGCCUCACAAACUAUGUAUGUAAAUAAUCCUGAUCUGGGAUUGGUCGGACCACAUCUGUUUUUUGACUUCUUAGCGAAUGAUAACUAAUAAAUAAAUAAUCCUGAUCUGGGAUUGGAUGAUAACGGAGAACACUUUGUUGUUCUUUUGAAUCCUGCAUUGCCCCUUUAAUUAAAGUCCACCUGUACUAAACCAGAUCACUGUUAGUCCCCGAUUCAAUCUGACUGCGCUUCGUCAACAACGCCAUUAACGUCAUUCAUAGGCAAAGUCCGCACCUGUCGGGGAGACCACAUUCCUCGCUGCAUGUUGGUUCAAUCGGAAAGGUUUAAAUGGUGCGUUGUUGACAAAGCACCAUGGGAUUGAAUCCCGACAUUAGUGUGGCUCUUCUAGCCAAAGCUGAUAAUUAUCCUUACAAUUAUUUUUUUUAAUUAUUUGUACAUAUAGUAUUUAUAUAUCACCACUAACACGGUACUAUUAGUAUUUUCUACUACAUACAGUAUAUCCAAAUGAUUCACUAAUUACACAGCCACGGUACAUAUAGUAUUUAUAUAACACCACUAACACGGUACAUAUAGUAUUUUGUACCACACCACAUGCGACUGGGGGCACCUUAUUAAUUGGGGAGGAAGGGCUCAUAGUGAUGGGAGGAAUGUGGUGAAGUGACUGGUAUCAAACACAUAGUUCCCUUCUGUUUUACAACCCUUCCACUCCUGACAUUAUGAGCCGUCCUCCCCAACAGCCUCCUGUGGUUUUACAACCCUUCCACUCCUGACAUUAUGAGCCGUCC